This 326-nucleotide ribosomal RNA is filed under the name uncultured eukaryote. Its description in RNAcentral is "partial 18S ribosomal RNA". It matches the Rfam family "Eukaryotic small subunit ribosomal RNA", at positions 1470 to 1796 of the family's 1831-position model. The record is from RNAcentral.
CCCUUAGAUGUUCUGGGCUGCACGCGCGCUACACUGAUGCGCUCAACGAGUUUAUGACCUUGCCCGGAAGGGUUGGGUAAUCUUUUCAAAACGCAUCGUGAUGGGGAUAGAUUAUUGCAAUUAUUAAUCUUCAACGAGGAAUUCCUAGUAAGCGCGAGUCAUCAGCUCGUGCUGAUUACGUCCCUGCCCUUUGUACACACCGCCCGUCGCCCCUACCGAUUGAGUGAUCCGGUGAAUAAUUCGGACUGCGGCAAUGUUCAGCUCCUGAAUGUUGCUGCGGAAAGUUUAGUGAACCUUAUCACUUAGAGGAAGGAGAAGUCGUAACA